GAUGUCUGAUUAGCUAGUUGGUGAGGUAAAGGCUUACCAAGGCGACGAUCAGUAGCUGGUCUGAGAGGACGACCAGCCACACUGGGACUGAGACACGGCCCAGACUCCUACGGGAGGCAGCAGUGGGGAAUUUUGGACAAUGGGGGAAACCCUGAUCCAGCCAUGCCGCGUGAGUGAAGAAGGCCUUCGGGUUGUAAAGCUCUUUCAGCCGGAACGAAACGGUCACGGCUAAUACCUGUGACUACUGACGGUACCGGAAGAAGAAGCACCGGCUAACUACGUGCCAGCAGCCGCGGUAAUACGUAUGGUGCAAGCGUUAAUCGGAAUUACUGGGCGUAAAGCGUGCCCAAGCGGUUUUGUAAGUCAGAUGUGAAAUCCCCGGGCUUAACCUGGGAACU
This 398-nucleotide ribosomal RNA is filed under the name uncultured ammonia-oxidizing bacterium DGGE-AG-NTNF-C1. Its description in RNAcentral is "bacterial SSU rRNA". It matches the Rfam family "Bacterial small subunit ribosomal RNA", at positions 232 to 622 of the family's 1533-position model. Lineage: Bacteria; Pseudomonadati; Pseudomonadota; Betaproteobacteria; Nitrosomonadales; Nitrosomonadaceae. The record is from RNAcentral.